UACGUAGGUGGCAAGCGUUGUCCGGAAUUACUGGGCGUAAAGCGCGUGUAGGCGGUCUCGCAAGUCGGAUGUGAAAGCCCCGGGCUUAACUUGGGAAUUGCGCUCGAAACUACUUGGCUGGAGUGUGGCAGAGGAAGGUGGAAUUCCAGGUGUAGCGGUGAAAUGCGUAGAGAUCUGGAGGAACACCGAUGGCGAAGGCAGCCUUCUGGGCCAACACUGACGCUCAUGCACGAAAGCGUGGGGAGCAAACAGG
Molecule: ribosomal RNA, 253 nt
Filed under: uncultured bacterium
Lineage: Bacteria
Description: partial 16S ribosomal RNA
Rfam family: Bacterial small subunit ribosomal RNA
Source: RNAcentral